Molecule: ribosomal RNA, 1543 nt
Filed under: Lachnospiraceae bacterium MD329
Lineage: Bacteria; Bacillati; Bacillota; Clostridia; Lachnospirales; Lachnospiraceae
Description: bacterial SSU rRNA
Rfam family: Bacterial small subunit ribosomal RNA
Source: RNAcentral
UUUAAUCGAGAGUUUGAUCCUGGCUCAGGACGAACGCUGGCGGCGUGCCUAACACAUGCAAGUCGAACGAGAARCCCAUUUGUGAUCCCUUCGGGGUGAACUGUUGGGUGGAAAGUGGCGGACGGGCGAGUAACGCGUGAGUAACCUGCCCAUAAGAGGGGGAUAAUCCUUGGAAACGAGGACUAAUACCGCAUAUUGAAAUUUUAUGGCAUCAUAGAAUUUUGAAAGAUUUAUCGCUUAUGGAUGGACUCGCGUCAGAUUAGCURGUUGGUGAGGUAACGGCUCACCAAGGCGACGAUCUGUAGCCGAACUGAGAGGUUGAUCGGCCGCAUUGGGACUGAGACACGGCCCAGACUCCUACGGGAGGCAGCAGUGGGGAAUAUUGCGCAAUGGGGGMAACCCUGACGCAGCAACGCCGCGUGCAGGAAGAAGGUCUUCGGAUUGUAAACUGUUGUCGCAGGGGAAGAAGACAGUGACGGUACCCUGUGAGAAAGUCACGGCUAACUACGUGCCAGCAGCCGCGGUAAUACGUAGGUGACAAGCGUUGUCCGGAUUUACUGGGUGUAAAGGGCGCGUAGGCGGGAUAGCAAGUCAGUCGUGAAAUGCCGAGGCUUAACCUCGGAGCUGCGAUUGAAACUGUUAUUCUUGAGUAUCGGAGAGGAAAGCGGAAUUCCUAGUGUAGCGGUGAAAUGCGUAGAUAUUAGGAGGAACACCAGUGGCGAAGGCGGCUUUCUGGACGACAACUGACGCUGAGGCGCGAAAGUGUGGGGAGCAAACAGGAUUAGAUACCCUGGUAGUCCACACCGUAAACGAUGGAUACUAGGUGUAGGAGGUAUCGACCCCUUCUGUGCCGCAGUUAACACAAUAAGUAUCCCACCUGGGGAGUACGACCGCAAGGUUGAAACUCAAAGGAAUUGACGGGGGCCCGCACAAGCAGUGGAGUAUGUGGUUUAAUUCGAAGCAACGCGAAGAACCUUACCUGGGCUUGACAUCCCGAUGACCGGUGUAGAGAUACACCUUCCCUUCGGGGCAUCGGUGACAGGUGGUGCAUGGUUGUCGUCAGCUCGUGUCGUGAGAUGUUGGGUUAAGUCCCGCAACGAGCGCAACCCCUAUUGUCAGUUGCCAUCAUUCAGUUGGGCACUCUGGCGAGACUGCCGGUGACAAAUCGGAGGAAGGUGGGGACGACGUCAAAUCAUCAUGCCCCUUAUGCCCAGGGCUACACACGUACUACAAUGGCCGGCAACAAAGUGCAGCAAUACCGUGAGGUGGAGCGAAUCACAAAACCCGGUCUCAGUUCAGAUUGCAGGCUGCAACUCGCCUGCAUGAAGUUGGAAUUGCUAGUAAUCGCGAAUCAGAAUGUCGCGGUGAAUACGUUCCCGGGCCUUGUACACACCGCCCGUCACACCAUGAGAGUCGAUAACACCCGAAGCCUGUGAGCUAACCGUAAGGAGGCAGCAGUCGAAGGUGGGGUUGAUGAUUGGGGUGAAGUCGUAACAAGGUAGCCGUAUCGGAAGGUGCGGCUGGAUCACCUCCUUUCUAAGGA